CGCAGAGGAGGCCCACAAACACUGCCUGCCUCACCAGGAGGGAUGGUAAGACGCUUGGCCCCUCCUUCCCUCAGCCUGACAAGGGGCAGUCCCUGGCCCUUUCCCAAAGGGACCCCAGAGAGGGGGAGGCCCAGCCCACCAUCCUGCCCGGUGGGAUUAGCUAUAUCCUUCUGCCCCCGGGACAGGAACCAUGGGAAAGCUUCCUCCUGCUGCAUCUACUCGCUCCCUCCCCACCAGCCAGGUCCCUCUGCAGUGUGUGGGGGUGGGGGCACCCAUCCCUGCCACCUGCCUGUAGUGGGAAGAGAAACAGUAACCCCAGCCAGCCUCCCUGGAGGUGCCCAGGUAGGAAGUUUUUGAUGCUUGGCUCUGAAGAUGUAAUCUUUUCUCCUGACAUUGUUGCCAGAGCCUGCCACAAAUAACGUAAGGGUGUCAGGACCUCUAGGCCACACACCAUCCUCUCCUCUCAGUCUGGAAGCCCCACAGCCUUUGCCCUCUGCAUUGGGGGACACAAACUGUUUACAGCAGGGGGGGAUCACUGACCAGCCUGUGGGGCGGGAUGUUGGCUGUGGGCAGCCUCCAGAAGGGAGCUCCCUGGGCCCCCUGGGAUCAGAAGCUUUCAGGUUUGGUAGGGCCAACCUUUUGGGCUCUUGUCUCUCAAGCUGUGUCCAGGCAGAGGCCCAAGCCUUGGCCAGGAAGUCUUGGUGACCCUGUGACCUUCCCCCAACGGGGGUUCCAGAGAGAGGCCUGUCCUUAUUCCUUUCCCCCACUUCUCCCCACAUGGUGGAUGGAUGGACUGAUUGUUCUAGGGAUGGAAGCCUAGGGAAGCACUGAUUGUCCCCAGUGCCAAGCCCAGCAGGGGCUAGAGGGGCUUUUUCUGCCACACACUAAGUUCAGUUCAGCUGAGGUCUUGGUGCUUUCGGCUUGUCCGAGGCCACACUGUUCUUCUCUAAUUAAAGACACACCCCCCUCCACCCCAACCACCAUCACCAAAGUCCCCAUCCUCAGGCCCCUGCCCUCAAGCCAGCCAAGUUCUUAGGCUGACUGGUUCAGAUCAGACUCCUCUAUGAGGGUCUCUUUGUCAAAGGAGGUCAGUGUCCUAGCUGCUUUGGGAAUCAGUGGGGGAGACCUCCCCAACCCAGGUGUGCCAGGGGGUUUAAAUUUACAUGUGAAAAGAAUGACAGGCCAACAUUAAUGACCAUCCUGUGACUUGGGAUGCACCUUCUCUUCUCAGGUUCAAAGCAGCUUAAGGUAUCUUAUCAUCUGGGAGUGCUUUCUCUCCCCAGCCUCCCUGGGAGGCAAGGAAGGGCCAUUCACAACUGAACAUUAAGGUCCUCAAAUUAAGACACUAUCCAGACUCACAAAAGAUGUUUCCACCCAACCAGAAACAGUGGACCCCUGACCCCUAGUUGAGUGCACACUUCCAACCAGGCCCCUUAAUUUAUCUCCCACCUAAAUGGCAGCUCUGAAGCUUCUGGGCUGCCAGCCUCCCAUUGCCUUGAACCCGUGCUCCUCAGAGACCAAGUGCUAACAGCUCCCCUGUUGACACUAUGGAAGCCAUGGAGUGAUCUAAUUGAUACAGGUUGCUAUAAGUCAGAGGUCAGGUGUCCUAGGGUAAGGGGAGUCCCUGGAGCAAAGUCUUCUCUGUGGCUGAUGCUCCCUGCAGGGAAAUUUAGGAGCAGAUUUCUGAAACAGUGACAUUCCUCACAGG
RNAcentral lists this small RNA (1708 nucleotides) under Pan troglodytes (chimpanzee). RNAcentral's name for it is "retained intron". Lineage: Eukaryota; Metazoa; Chordata; Mammalia; Primates; Hominidae. The record is from RNAcentral.